Molecule: ribosomal RNA, 465 nt
Filed under: Vreelandella stevensii
Lineage: Bacteria; Pseudomonadati; Pseudomonadota; Gammaproteobacteria; Oceanospirillales; Halomonadaceae
Description: partial 16S ribosomal RNA
Rfam family: Bacterial small subunit ribosomal RNA
Source: RNAcentral
CCUACGGGUGACUGCAGUGGGGAAUAUUGGACAAUGGGGGGAACCCUGAUCCAGCCAUGCCGCGUGUGUGAAGAAGGCCCUCGGGUUGUAAAGCACUUUCAGUGAGGAAGAACGCCUGGUGGUUAAUACCCAUCAGGAAAGACAUCACUCACAGAAGAAGCACCGGCUAACUCCGUGCCAGCAGCCGCGGUAAUACGGAGGGUGCGAGCGUUAAUCGGAAUUACUGGGCGUAAAGCGCGCGUAGGUGGCUUGAUAAGCCGGUUGUGAAAGCCCCGGGCUCAACCUGGGAACGGCAUCCGGAACUGUCAAGCUAGAGUGCAGGAGAGGAAGGUAGAAUUCCCGGUGUAGCGGUGAAAUGCGUAGAGAUCGGGAGGAAUACCAGUGGCGAAGGCGGCCUUCUGGACUGACACUGACACUGAGGUGCGAAAGCGUGGGUAGCAAACAGGAUUAGAUACCCCAGUAGUC